CUCGGCGGCGUCCUCUGUGUAUCCAGGUUGGGGAGCUCAUUUAACGGGCCUCAGCCCAUGAAUGAGCACGUCGGAUCUCUCCAUUGAUGUGUUCUCUAUGCGGGGCAGAGGCUGGAGGUUGCUAUCAAUUACCUGUCAGCAAAUCUCCAUAGAUUCUGACUGUUUGUAAAAGCUCCUUUGCUUUCGCUCUUAUGGUUCAUCUGAGGACAUUGCUAAUCUGCAUGGAUCUGGCAGAAGUAAAAACAGGGUUGCCUUCUCCUUAUCUGAACUUUGAAAACAGAUUUGAUUUUGAUUUUCUGUAUUGGUUAUGUGUACAGAGUGCUAGGGAACAUCUGUACCUUUCAAUUGCAAUUACUCCAAUCACAUCAUCCUUUGCUAGUUACGGAUUGAUUUAGGCAACUGCCACUUUCUUCUCCUGGAUUUUUAACUAUUCGCUCAGUUGUAGCAGAGGCAUUGAUGGUGCCAGCUGUCUUUGUGAGAU
Rana temporaria (common frog) is the source of this 481-nucleotide long non-coding RNA. RefSeq lists it as uncharacterized. The record is from RefSeq and is a predicted model, not a curated record. The transcript is spliced from 3 exons. NCBI's taxonomy places the organism in Eukaryota, Metazoa, Chordata, Amphibia, Anura, Ranidae.